GACGAACGCUGGCGGCGUGCUUAACACAUGCAAGUCGAACGGAAAGGCCCUGCUUUUGGGGGGUGCUCGAGUGGCGAACGGGUGAGUAACACGUGAGUAACCUGCCCUUGACUGUGGGAUAACUUCAGGAAACUGGGGCUAAUACCGGAUAGGAGCUCCUGCUGCAUGGUGGGGGUUGGAAAGUUUCGGCGGUUGGGGAUGGACUCGCGGCUUAUCAGCUUGUUGGUGGGGUAGUGGCUUACCAAGGCUUUGACGGGUCGCCGGCCUGAGAGGGUGACCGGCCACAUUGGGACUGAGCUACGGCCCAGACUCCUACGGGAGGCAGCAGUGGGGAAUAUUGCACAAUGGGCGGACGCCUGAUGCAGCAACGCCGCGUGCGGGAUGACGGCCUUCGGGUUGUAAACCGCUUUCGCCUGUGACGAAGCGUGAGUGACGGUAAUGGGUGAAGAAGCACCGGCUAACUACGUG
This 468-nucleotide ribosomal RNA is filed under the name uncultured bacterium. RNAcentral's name for it is "partial 16S ribosomal RNA". It matches the Rfam family "Bacterial small subunit ribosomal RNA", at positions 28 to 507 of the family's 1533-position model. The record is from RNAcentral.